UACAGAGGGUGCGAGCGUUACUCGGAAUUACUGGGCGUAAAGCGUGCGUAGCCGGUUAUGUAAGUCGGGUGUGAAAGCCCCGGGCUCAACCUGGGAAUUGCAUUCGAGACUGCAUAGCUAGGAUGCGGAAGAGGGAAGUGGAAUUUCCGGUGUAGCGGUGAAAUGCGUAGAUAUCGGAAGGAACAUCAGUGGCGAAAGCGACUUCCUGGUCCAGCAUCGACGUUCAGGCACGAAAGCGUGGGGAGCAAACAGG
This 253-nucleotide ribosomal RNA is filed under the name uncultured bacterium. Its description in RNAcentral is "partial 16S ribosomal RNA". It matches the Rfam family "Bacterial small subunit ribosomal RNA", at positions 524 to 776 of the family's 1533-position model. The record is from RNAcentral.